AUUGAACGCUGGCGGCAUGCCUUACACAUGCAAGUCGAACGCCCUGGCAACAGGGAGUGGCAGACGGGUGAGUAACGCGUGGGAACGUGCCCUUCGGUUCGGAAUAACUCAGGGAAACUUGAGCUAAUACCGGAUACGUGCGAGAGCAGAAAGAUUUAUCGCCGAAGGAUCGGCCCGCGUCCGAUUAGCUAGUUGGUGAGGUAACGGCUCACCAAGGCGACGAUCGGUAGCUGGUCUGAGAGGAUGAUCAGCCACACUGGGACUGAGACACGGCCCAGACUCCUACGGGAGGCAGCAGUGGGGAAUAUUGGACAAUGGGCGCAAGCCUGAUCCAGCCAUGCCGCGUGAGUGAUGAAGGCCCUAGGGUUGUAAAGCUCUUUCGCCAGGGACGAUAAUGACGGUACCUGGAUAAGAAGCCCCGGCUAACUUCGUGCCAGCAGCCGCAGUAA
RNAcentral lists this ribosomal RNA (449 nucleotides) under uncultured bacterium. RNAcentral's name for it is "partial 16S ribosomal RNA". It matches the Rfam family "Bacterial small subunit ribosomal RNA", at positions 30 to 523 of the family's 1533-position model. The record is from RNAcentral.